Molecule: ribosomal RNA, 215 nt
Filed under: Scutellospora calospora
Lineage: Eukaryota; Fungi; Glomeromycota; Glomeromycetes; Diversisporales; Gigasporaceae
Description: partial small subunit ribosomal RNA
Rfam family: Eukaryotic small subunit ribosomal RNA (bases 46-215)
Source: RNAcentral
GGGUUCUACCGUUGGUCGGGCUAACAAGUCUGUACUAGCGUGUGGAAUUUCUACCUUCUGGGGAACCAUCAUGUUAUUAAUUUAGCGUGGUGGGAAACCAGGACCUUUACCUUGAAAAAAUUAGAGUGUUCAAAGCAGGCUCACGUCUGAAUACAUUAGCAUGGAAUAAUAAAAUAGGACGGUGGUCCUGUUUUGUUGGUUUCUGAAUCACCGUA